AGCGAACGCUGGCGGCGUGCCUAACACAUGCAAGUCGAACGUGAAAGGGAGCAAUCCCAAGUAAAGUGGCGUACGGGUGAGUAACACGUAGGUAAUCUACCCCAGAAUCUGGAAUAACCGGCCGAAAGGCUGGCUAAUACUGGAUAGAGCGACGGAAUCCGUAAUUGGGUUUUUCGGGAAAGGGAGCCUGUAAAAAGGCCUUCGUUCUGGGAUGAGCCUGCGUCCCAUCAGCUAGUUGGUGAGGUAAAAGCUUACCAAGGCAAUGACGGGUAGCUGGUCUGAGAGGACGAUCAGCCACACUGGAACUGAAACACGGUCCAGACUCCUACGGGAGGCAGCAGUGGGGAAUCUUGCGCAAUGGACGAAAGUCUGACGCAGCAACGCCGCGUGAGGGAAGAAGGCCUUCGGGUUGUAAAGCUCUGUCGAGUGGGACGAAAAUGCUUGGAGUUCACAGCUCCAGGAACUGACGGUACCACUAAAGGAAGCACCGGCUAACUCCGUG
RNAcentral lists this ribosomal RNA (502 nucleotides) under uncultured bacterium. Its description in RNAcentral is "partial 16S ribosomal RNA". It matches the Rfam family "Bacterial small subunit ribosomal RNA", at positions 29 to 507 of the family's 1533-position model. The record is from RNAcentral.